GUGAGGAAUAUUGGUCAAUGGACGAGAGUCUGAACCAGCCAAGUCGCGUGAAGGAAGACGGUUCUAUGAAUUGUAAACUUCUUUUGUGUAGGAAUAAAGUGGGUUACGUGUAACCUUUUGUAUGUACUGUACGAAUAAGGAUCGGCUAACUCCGUGCCAGCAGCCGCGGUAAUACGGAGGAUCCGAGCGUUAUCCGGAUUUAUUGGGUUUAAAGGGUGCGUAGGUGGAUUGAUAAGUCAGCGGUGAAAGUUUGCAGCUUAAAUAUAAAAUUGCCGUUGAAACUGUCGGUCUUGAGUGCAAAUGAGGUAGGCGGAAUGUGUUGUGUAGCGGUGAAAUGCUUAGAUAUAACACAGAACUCCGAUUGCGAAGGCAGCUUACUGGGAUGCAACUGACACUGAUGCACGAAAGCGUGGGUAUCAAACAGGAUUAGAAACCCCUGUAGUCC
This 445-nucleotide ribosomal RNA is filed under the name uncultured bacterium. RNAcentral's name for it is "partial 16S ribosomal RNA". It matches the Rfam family "Bacterial small subunit ribosomal RNA", at positions 354 to 796 of the family's 1533-position model. The record is from RNAcentral.